CUAGCAUAUCAAUAAGCGGAGGAAAAGAAACCAACAGGGAUUGCCCUAGUAACGGCGAGUGAAGCGGCAACAGCUCAAAUUUGAAAUCUGGCGUCUUUGGCGUCCGAGUUGUAAUUUGCAGAGGGCGCUUUGGCAUUGGCAGCGGUCCAAGUUCCUUGGAACAGGACGUCACAGAGGGUGAGAAUCCCGUACGUGGUCGCUAGCCUUUACCGUGUAAAGCCCCUUCGACGAGUCGAGUUGUUUGGGAAUGCAGCUCUAAAUGGGAGGUAAAUUUCUUCUAAAGCUAAAUACUGGCCAGAGACCGAUAGCGCACAAGUAGAGUGAUCGAAAGAUGAAAAGCACUUUGGAAAGAGAGUUAAAAAGCACGUGAAAUUGUUGAAAGGGAAGCGCUUGCAGCCAGACUUGCCUGUAGUUGCUCAUCCAGGUUUCUACCUGGUGCACUCUUCUAUAGGCAGGCCAGCAUCAGUUUGGGCGGUUGGAUAAAGGUCUCUGUCAUGUACCUCUCUUCGGGGAGAACUUAUAGGGGAGACGACAUGCAACCAGCCUGGACUGAGGUCCGCGCAUCUGCUAGGAUGCUGGCGUAAUGGCUGUAAGCGGCCCGUCUUGAAACACGGACCAAGGAGUCUAACAUCUAUGCGAGUGUUUGGGUGUCAAGCCCGAGCGCGUAAUGAAAGUGAACGGAGGUGGGAACCUUUCGGGGUGCACCAUCGACCGAUCCUGAUGUCUUCGGAUGGAUUUGAGUAAGAGCAUAGCUGUUGGGACCCGAAAGAUGGUGAACUAUGCUUGAAUAGGGUGAAGCCAGAGGAAACUCUGGUGGAGGCUCGCAGCGGUUCUGACGUGCAAAUCGAUCGUCAAAUUUGGGCAUAGGGGCGAAAGACUAAUCGAACUAUCUAGUAGCUGGUUCCUGCCG
This 910-nucleotide ribosomal RNA is filed under the name Didymella sp. Its description in RNAcentral is "partial large subunit ribosomal RNA". It matches the Rfam family "Eukaryotic large subunit ribosomal RNA", at positions 34 to 963 of the family's 3401-position model. The record is from RNAcentral. Lineage: Eukaryota; Fungi; Ascomycota; Dothideomycetes; Pleosporales; Didymellaceae.